RNAcentral lists this microRNA precursor (74 nucleotides) under Ornithorhynchus anatinus (platypus). RNAcentral describes it as "mir-1421 microRNA precursor family". It matches the Rfam family "mir-1421 microRNA precursor family". The record is from Rfam by way of RNAcentral. Lineage: Eukaryota; Metazoa; Chordata; Mammalia; Monotremata; Ornithorhynchidae.
CAGCGUGUGAACGUCUCACGUUGUGCUGUGUGAUGGCGGAAUACACUGCAUAGCGUGUGACUUCCCUACACAGU